Molecule: small nuclear RNA, 81 nt
Filed under: Hucho hucho (huchen)
Lineage: Eukaryota; Metazoa; Chordata; Actinopteri; Salmoniformes; Salmonidae
Description: Flavo-1 RNA (ENSHHUG00000018634.1)
Rfam family: Flavo-1 RNA
Source: Rfam by way of RNAcentral
AAUUAGCCCUGAUGGAAGGGAAAAUCCUUUUUGAACGCUUUUUCGGCGGGCAAAAAGAUUGGAAUGACAGCAGGACAACUG